GAGACACCCCUAUGGAGCAGGACUUGCUUUAGUGGGACUUUGGUGCUUACUGAGUCUGCCCCUGAAUGUGUUGCU
Molecule: non-coding RNA, 75 nt
Organism: Myotis lucifugus (little brown bat)
Lineage: Eukaryota; Metazoa; Chordata; Mammalia; Chiroptera; Vespertilionidae
Source: Rfam